GCUGGGUGCAGUGGCACACGCCUGUAAUCCCAGGGGCUCAGGAGGCUGAGGCAGGAGGAUCCCAAAUGCAGAGCCAACCUCAGCAAUUUAGCGAGGCUCUGUGCAACUUAGUGAUACCCUGUCUCAA
Molecule: small RNA, 127 nt
Filed under: Marmota monax (woodchuck)
Lineage: Eukaryota; Metazoa; Chordata; Mammalia; Rodentia; Sciuridae
Source: RNAcentral